GACGAACGCUGGCGGCGUGCUUAACACAUGCAAGUCGAACGGAAAGGCCCUGCUUUUGUGGGGUGCCCGAGUGGCGAACGGGUGAGUAACACGUGAGUAACCUGCCCUUGACUUUGGGAUAACUUCAGGAAACUGGGGCUAAUACCGGAUAGGAGCUCCUGCUGCAUGGUGGGGGUUGGAAAGUUUCGGCGGUUGGGGAUGGACUCGCGGCUUAUCAGCUUGUUGGUGGGGUAGUGGCUUACCACGGCUUUGACGGGUAGCCGGCCUGAGAGGGUGACCGGCCACAUUGGGACUGAGCUACGGCCCAGACUCCUACGGGAGGCAGCAGUGGGGAAUAUUGCACAAUGGGCGGAAGCCUGAUGCAGCAACGCCGCGUGCGGGAUGACGGCCUUCGGGUUGUAAACCGCUUUCGCCUGUGACGAAGCGUGAGUGACGGUAAUGGGUAAAGAAGCACCGGCUAACUACGUG
Molecule: ribosomal RNA, 468 nt
Filed under: uncultured bacterium
Lineage: Bacteria
Description: partial 16S ribosomal RNA
Rfam family: Bacterial small subunit ribosomal RNA
Source: RNAcentral